This 1504-nucleotide ribosomal RNA is filed under the name uncultured bacterium. RNAcentral's name for it is "16S ribosomal RNA". It matches the Rfam family "Bacterial small subunit ribosomal RNA". The record is from RNAcentral.
UAGAGUUUGAUCAUGGCUCAGGAUGAACGCUAGCGACAGGCUUAACACAUGCAAGUCGAGGGGCAGCGGGGCGGCAGGCUUGCCUGCCGUUGCCGGCGACCGGCGCACGGGUGAGUAACACGUAUGCAACCUGCCCGUGGCAGGGGGAUAAGCGGGGGAAACCCCGUCUAAUACCGCGUAACGCGGCCUAGGGACAUCCCAAGGCCGCCAAAGGGAGCAAUCCCGGCCACGGAUGGGCAUGCGGCGCAUUAGCUAGUCGGCGGGGUAACGGCCCACCGAGGCGACGAUGCGUAGGGGUUCUGAGAGGAAGGUCCCCCACACUGGUACUGAGACACGGACCAGACUCCUACGGGAGGCAGCAGUGAGGAAUAUUGGUCAAUGGGCGCGAGCCUGAACCAGCCAAGUCGCGUGAGGGAAGACGGUCCUAUGGAUUGUAAACCUCUUUUGUCGGGGAGCAAAAGACGCCACGUGUGGCGUUCCGAGAGUACCCGAAGAAAAAGCAUCGGCUAACUCCGUGCCAGCAGCCGCGGUAAUACGGAGGAUGCGAGCGUUAUCCGGAUUUAUUGGGUUUAAAGGGUGCGCAGGCGGAAGAUCAAGUCAGCGGUAAAAUUGAGAGGCUCAACCUCUUCGAGCCGUUGAAACUGGUUUUCUUGAGUGAGCGAGAAGUAUGCGGAAUGCGUGGUGUAGCGGUGAAAUGCAUAGAUAUCACGCAGAACUCCGAUUGCGAAGGCAGCAUACCGGCGCUCAACUGACGCUCAUGCACGAAAGUGUGGGUAUCGAACAGGAUUAGAUACCCUGGUAGUCCACACAGUAAACGAUGAAUACUAAUUGUUCGGGGAGAAUGAUCCCUGAGUGAUACAGCGAAAGCGUUAAGUAUUCCACCUGGGGAGUACGCCGGCAACGGUGAAACUCAAAGGAAUUGACGGGGGCCCGCACAAGCGGAGGAACAUGUGGUUUAAUUCGAUGAUACGCGAGGAACCUUACCCGGGCUCAAACGACACAGGAAUACUUUUGAAAGGAGGUAGCUCUACGGAGUCUGUGUCGAGGUGCUGCAUGGUUGUCGUCAGCUCGUGCCGUGAGGUGUCGGCUUAAGUGCCAUAACGAGCGCAACCCCCAUCGCCAGUUACCAGCAAGUCAAGUUGGGGACUCUGGCGAGACUGCCGGCGCAAGCUGUGAGGAAGGCGGGGAUGACGUCAAAUCAGCACGGCCCUUACGUCCGGGGCGACACACGUGUUACAAUGGCAGGUACAGAGAGAAGCAAUGCGGCGACGCAAAGCGGAACUUGAAAGCCUGUCUCAGUUCGGAUUGGAGUCUGCAACUCGACUCCAUGAAGCUGGAUUCGCUAGUAAUCGCGCAUCAGCCAUGGCGCGGUGAAUACGUUCCCGGGCCUUGUACACACCGCCCGUCAAGCCAUGGAAGCCGGGAGUGCCUGAAGUGAGCAACCGCAAGGAGCGCCCUAAGGUAAAACUGGUGACUGGGGCUAAGUCGUAACAAGGUAACCGUA